UCUUGAUGCACUCGCAGCUCGC
RNAcentral lists this non-coding RNA (22 nucleotides) under Arabidopsis thaliana (thale cress). The record is from RNAcentral. Lineage: Eukaryota; Viridiplantae; Streptophyta; Magnoliopsida; Brassicales; Brassicaceae.